GAGCUGGCGAUAGCUCAGCUCAGGGUUGGAAACCUAAAUAAAGCUCUGAGUUUGUCUCCUGAGCCCAUUGUUCCUUAACAAGCGCAGUGUAUCGGAACCGCCUUAGGGUCCCGGGACUGUCCACAAAGGUCAAAAUUAACUCAGUUGAUUGCUUAACCCCACCAAGGGCUGCAAUUUGUGGGCCACCUUCUUUCACUUUGAUCGCGUGUGUACGGUGAACUUGAGCUUGUCAGAGCCCUUUGCCCUGGGUGCACUCCAGAAUAAGCACGGGAGACUCGAGAGGUGGGGCCCAGGGAUUCUUGAACAUGAAAAUCUCCAGUUCUGCCUGCUACACAGAGAUGAUCCAGAUGAGAGAACUGGGGAAACUCAGGGUGGCUGGCAAAGCUGGCAGAGUCGGAAGCAGAGAAAUUAGAUGCUGCCCGUCACUUAUUCAAGAAAUCUUCAGUAUUCAACAAAAUUCAGUAACAUAAGAAGAAGAAGAAGAAGAAGAAGAAGAAGAAGAAGAAGAAGAAGAAGAAGAAGAAGGUGUGCAUCAUUCCAUUUUGAAGUCAGUUUUAAACAAUAUGCUUUGUCCAUAUUAACAAUUAGCUUCUUUCCUCUGAAAAUAUCCAAUUCACCUUCUCAAUUAAAAUAACUGUUGGGCACAUGGAGACAACAGUUUGAAUAUGAGAUGCCCCCACAGCCUCCUGUGUCAAAUACUUGGUCCCCAGCUGUGAUGCUGUUUUGGGAAAUGAUAGAACGUUCAGGAGCUGGACUUAGCUGAGAGAAGAUGGGCAUUAAAGCGUGGAUAUGGAAUAGCUUUGAAGGUUGUACCUGGUUUCUUGUUCCUUCUCUCUCCUCUUCCUGUCCUCCAUAAUGUGAGUGGCCUCGGCCACAGGCUUCUUCCACCAUGGUGUUCUGUUUCAUCUUGUGGACCAGAAUCAAGGAAGCCAAGGAUCAUGGACCCAAACUUCUGAAACUAUGAAAUAAAUAAGUUUCUCUUCUUUGUAA
Molecule: long non-coding RNA, 990 nt
Organism: Meriones unguiculatus (Mongolian gerbil)
Lineage: Eukaryota; Metazoa; Chordata; Mammalia; Rodentia; Muridae
Exons: 3
Source: RefSeq, a predicted model, not a curated record